GUCCACGCCGUAAACGUUGGGCACUAGGUGUGGGUCUCAACCAACGAGAUCCGCGCCGUCGCUAACGCAUUAAGUGCCCCGCCUGGGGAGUACGACCGCAAGGUUAAAACUCAAAGGAAUUGACGGGGCCCGCACAAGCAGCGGAGCGUGUUGCUUAAUUCGAUGCAACGCGAAGAACCUUACCUGGGCUUGACAUGUACGGAAAAGCCGUAGAGAUACGGUGUCCUUCGGGGCCGUACACAGGUGGUGCAUGGCUGUCGU
This 261-nucleotide ribosomal RNA is filed under the name uncultured bacterium. Its description in RNAcentral is "partial 16S ribosomal RNA". It matches the Rfam family "Bacterial small subunit ribosomal RNA", at positions 793 to 1055 of the family's 1533-position model. The record is from RNAcentral.